Molecule: long non-coding RNA, 2677 nt
Organism: Vigna radiata var. radiata (mung bean)
Lineage: Eukaryota; Viridiplantae; Streptophyta; Magnoliopsida; Fabales; Fabaceae
Exons: 3
Source: RefSeq, a predicted model, not a curated record
AGCAUGAGAAAACACCCUGAAGAAAAUGUUGGAAACUCUUUCUAGAUUUGGUGAGAGAGGACUGCCCCUUCUAGAUCACGAAGAAGACAUGAAGAUUCAAAGCAGCUCAUCAUGAAAUUGCGAAAUCAACCCUUAUAAAACAUAAGAGUGGAAGCAAGAACUUACCGCAAAGAUAAAGUCAAAACAUUAAGAUCUUCUACUCCUUUAGCUUUCAGGGAUGAUCUUAAAGCAAGAAAGAGACUUAUUCGGAGGCUUGGGCAAACUCAAAUCAAAGUGGGAAAGGCUAUAUACAGUGGUCAAAGUAUUCCCGCAGUAGAGAUCAGAAAAUCAGAACCUGAGAAGACAUUAAAGUCAAUGGUCACCAAUUAAAGAACUUUUAGGAGAAACAGCCUCUGGAUUGAAUAAGAUUUCUUUUUCCUUAUCCAUUUUUAAUUUUUGUUUUUGAUUUUAAUUUUUUUUUGUUCCUUUUGUGGAAUAACUGUCUGCUGGUAGCCCACAUGUCUUUUUCACAUGUUUUUUGUUUUUCUGUUUUCGGUGUUGUGUUAUCUGUUUUUGUUUGACAAAAAUUUGGCAAAAUUUUUUGUUUUCUGUUUCUGUAUUUAGCUUCUGUUUCAGUUGUGAAAAUUUGUAUGUCCGAAAAAGAGUUGUCUUAGUAUUUUGUUUAGUUUUUUUAGUAGUUCUUCUAGGUACUUUUGUUUCACUCUUUGCUUACUUUUUGCGGACUGACAUGAUGAAAGUUGUGGUUCUUUUAGUUUGAGAUUGCUGAGUGUGUCAUUAGAUCUAAAUUUGAGUAGAUGAUUUCUAGCGGUCUUUUUUUGCAUUUUGAUUCAAUUGAGUUAAGUAGUUUUUCCAUGAUAGAGAAGUAGCAUUUCAGUUUUGACAAAUAUGAACCCCUGAGAGACUUUGAGCCUUAAUUCUUCAUUUUUGUGUGAUUGCAUGCAUGGAGGGUUACAUUUCGGAAUUUGCACUGAUUCUUUUUGGUAUGCUUGGCCUUGGAUGCACUCUAGAUAUGAUUUAGGCCCUUUUUGUUCCAGCCACUUAGCCAAAAAUGACUCACCCUGAUAUUUUGCCAUUGCACCUGAUUUUUUGAGCUUGAAUUGACCUUUCCUUCUUUAAUUACCCUGUUACAAGCCAAGAGACCUGAAAAACCAUGAAUUACCUAACUUGUGAGUAUAAGAAGGUCAAGGUGCAUGUGCAGUUGCUGAUUUGAAAAAAAAAUAUCAAAAUUGGUUGAGUGUUAAAACAAUGUCUGAAAUGACUGAAAAAGAAAAAAAAAUGAGGAAAGAAAAAGUGGUCUGAAUCAUACAAAAAGAAAAAAAAUGAGGAAAGAAAAAGAUGUAAAAAAGAAGAGUGGGUCAUAGAAUUACUUGAGCUGAAAAUGCACUUGAAUUUCAUACUACCACCUUGCUUUCUCAUGCUCACAGGUUCAUAGCUUUGAAUUCCUUUUCUGAANCCUACCCCCAACCUGACCACANUACAAGCUGAGAUGAANUCCUAGUGAUUUNGAGUGUGNCUUGGAUUAAGUGAUGCUAGUUAGAAGCUUUUCAAAUUCAUGAACUGUGCUUUGUCAUGUUUUGCUGAGUGAUAUAUACAAGCCAAUACACAUUNAGCGGUUGAGUGCAAACACUUUUCUUGUGAGGUGAAAUCUGAGAUGUUGUUGAUCUUGAUUGUUUCCUACUUGAUUUUGAUUGAAUUAAUAUGUGUUUUUUGACUUGUUGGCUUUCAUGAAACUUGAAUUUGGAGGGUUGAUGGCCAUUUGGCANAUUUAAGCUAGAGUAAUACAGCUGAGUUGUGCAAAUUUGUAAAUAGAAGUGAAUUGUGAUAGUUUGUUUAGAAUUGUGUCAGUUUUGUUUGCCCAGUCCAAGAGGGUAGUGUUCUAAGCGUGGGUCUGUGUUAACCUUGCAUUUUUUAUCCUUUUUCCUUCAUAAAAUUUCCUUCUUAGUGUUAAUUACUUUGUAAAAUUUUAGAAUUAGGUUAGACUUUAGUUUUAAGUGCACAAAUAGAGGUUUGUAGAUAUUAUUUUUAAAAUUGUUUUUAAAUAAAAAUUGUGUCUAGAAUAAAAGGCUGUCAACGGUAAAUAUUCCUUAUUGAAUUAAGGCCAUGAUUUGAUUUUACAAGCUUGCCUGAAAAUUGUAUUCUAUAUGUGAUAUAAUUCAUGAUGAAAUAGUUAACCAAACGCCUUGGUAUUAAUUUGCAGAUAUUCAGCAAUUACAAUUUGAAGCCCAGCAUCCGUGGUUGUGACAUGCAGAAAUUUGUGAAAUUUUUUGUAAUUAUCAGAUGUUUCAAAUCACUUCAGAACCUCACAACAUACCACCAAGUAUGGUUACUGUACCAAUAUAUACUUUUGAUAUAUGGAUUAGAUGAAUUGCCCAGGAAGCAUUCACAAACUGAUUUUCCUUGACAUAUUUGUGCAACUUGGUGUUGAUGAACAUUUUGGCCUGAAUUAAUCAUAUUAUUUAGAUGCUGAACAAUGUGUUUCAAAAUUGAAGUAUUCUCCUUCUUGAGUUAAUUUAACUGAAUUUAAUUAUUUUCCUUCUUGAGUUCAUUUAACUGAAUUUAAUUAUUUUUAAAACUGUAUGAAGUUUUUUAGUUUUGAGGUACUUUAGAAAGGAUGGACAUAAUUGGAGAAAGAAAAAGGGUGGAAAGACUGUGAAAGAAGCUCAUGAAAAGUUGAAGG